GUCCGAUUAAGCCAUGCGAGUCGAGAGAAUAAGAUUCUCGGCAUACCGCUCAGUAACACGUGGAUAACUGCCCUGUGCUGGGGGAUAACCUCGCGAAAGUGAGAACAAUACCCCAUGGGUCACUAUGCCUGGAACGGUUAGUGGCUGAAAGCUCCGGCGGCACAGGAUGGGUCUGCGGCGUAUCAGGUCGUAGGGGGUGUAACGUACCUCCUAGCCUUCGACGCGUACGGGUUGUGAGAGCAAUUGCCCGGAGAUGGAUUCUGAGACACGAAUCCAGGCCCUACGGGGCGCAGCAGGCGCGAAAACUUGACAAUGCGAGAAAUCGUGAUCAGGGGACUCCAGUUGGCUGGAUCAAAAGUCCAGUCUGAACCGACUUUAAAUCGGUCGGGUAAUAGGGGCGGGAAAGACCGGUGCCAGCCGCCGCGGUAAUACCGGCGCCCCAAGUGGUCGUCACUAUUAUUGGGCCUAAAACGUCCGUAGCCGGUUUGGUAAAUCCGUGGGUAAAUCAGACAGCCUAACUGUCUGAAUUCUGCGGGGACUGCCAGACUUGAGACCGGGAGAGGUGCGGGGUACUUGCGGGGUACCGGUAAAAUGGGAUCAUCCCGUAGAGACCACCUGUUGCGAAGGCGCCGCACUAGAACGGAUCUGACGGUCAGGGACGAAGCCUAGGGGCACGAACCGGAUUAGAUACCCGGGUAGUCCUAGGUGUAAACGCUGUGGACUUGGUGUCGGGGACCUUCUGAGGGUUUCCGGUGCCGGAGUGAAGAUGUUAAGUCCACUGCCUGGGGAGUACGGUCGCAAGGCUGAAACUUAAAGGAAUUGGCGGGGGAGCACCGCAACGAGAGGAGCGUGCGGUUUAAU
Molecule: ribosomal RNA, 861 nt
Filed under: uncultured Candidatus Poseidoniales archaeon
Lineage: Archaea; Methanobacteriati; Thermoplasmatota; Candidatus Poseidoniia; Candidatus Poseidoniales
Description: SSU rRNA
Rfam family: Archaeal small subunit ribosomal RNA
Source: RNAcentral